GAUGAACGCUAGCGGCAGGCCUAAUACAUGCAAGCUGAACGGUAAAUAGUGUAGCAAUACACUAUGAGAGUAGCGUAAGGGUGCGUAACACGUAUGCAAUCUGCCCUGUACAGGAGGAUAGCUCGGCGAAAGCCGGAUUAAUACUCCGUAAGAUAUUGGUGGGGCAUCCCACAGAUAUUAAAGUCUUCGGAUGGUACAGGAUGAGCAUGCGUCUGAUUAGCUAGUUGGUGGUGUAACGGACCACCAAGGCGAUGAUCAGUAGGGGAACUGAGAGGUUGAUCCCCCACACUGGCACUGAGAUACGGGCCAGACUCCUACGGGAGGCAGCAGUAGGGAAUAUUGGUCAAUGGGUGAGAGCCUGAACCAGCCAUGCCGCGUGCAGGAAGACGGCCUUCUGGGUCGUAAACUGCUUUUACCGGGGGAUAAAAGUUCUCUUGCGAGGGAAAUUGAAGGUACCCGGUGAAUAAGCCACGGCUAACUACGUGCCG
Molecule: ribosomal RNA, 488 nt
Filed under: uncultured bacterium
Lineage: Bacteria
Description: bacterial SSU rRNA
Rfam family: Bacterial small subunit ribosomal RNA
Source: RNAcentral